AAUACAUGCAAGUCGAGCGAGCUGAAUUCAAAGAUCCCUUCGGGGUGAUUUGUUGGAUGCUAGCGGCGGAUGGGUGAGUAACACGUGGGCAAUCUGCCCUAAAGACUGGGAUACCACUUGGAAACAGGUGCUAAUACCGGAUAACAACAUGAAUCGCAUGAUUCAAGUUUGAAAGGCGGCGCAAGCUGUCACUUUAGGAUGAGCCCGCGGCGCAUUAGCUAGUUGGUGGGGUAAAGGCCUACCAAGGCAAUGAUGCGUAGCCGAGUUGAGAGACUGAUCGGCCACAUUGGGACUGAGACACGGCCCAAACUCCUACGGGAGGCAGCAGUAGGGAAUCUUCCACAAUGGACGCAAGUCUGAUGGAGCAACGCCGCGUGAGUGAAGAAGGUCUUCGGAUCGUAAAGCUCUGUUGUUGGUGAAGAAGGAUAGAGGCAGUAACUGGUCUUUAUUUGACGGUAAUCAACCAGAAAGUCACGGCUAACUACGUGCCAGCAGCCGCGGUAAUACGUAGGUGGCAAGCGUUGUCCGGAUUUAUUGGGCGUAAAGCGAGCGCAGGCGGAAUGAUAAGUCUGAUGUGAAAGCCCACGGCUCAACCGUGGAACUGCAUCGGAAACUGUCAUUCUUGAGUGCAGAAGAGGAGAGUGGAACUCCAUGUGUAGCGGUGGAAUGCGUAGAUAUAUGGAAGAACACCAGUGGCGAAGGCGGCUCUCUGGUCUGCAACUGACGCUGAGGCUCGAAAGCAU
This 743-nucleotide ribosomal RNA is filed under the name Lactobacillus delbrueckii. Its description in RNAcentral is "bacterial SSU rRNA". It matches the Rfam family "Bacterial small subunit ribosomal RNA", at positions 50 to 762 of the family's 1533-position model. Lineage: Bacteria; Bacillati; Bacillota; Bacilli; Lactobacillales; Lactobacillaceae. The record is from RNAcentral.